RNAcentral lists this ribosomal RNA (680 nucleotides) under Salmonella enterica subsp. enterica serovar Kentucky. Its description in RNAcentral is "bacterial SSU rRNA". It matches the Rfam family "Bacterial small subunit ribosomal RNA", at positions 1 to 669 of the family's 1533-position model. Lineage: Bacteria; Pseudomonadati; Pseudomonadota; Gammaproteobacteria; Enterobacterales; Enterobacteriaceae. The record is from RNAcentral.
UUAAAUUGAAGAGUUUGAUCAUGGCUCAGAUUGAACGCUGGCGGCAGGCCUAACACAUGCAAGUCGAACGGUAACAGGAAGCAGCUUGCUCUUGGGUGACGAGUGGCGGACGGGUGAGUAAUGUCUGGGAAACUGCCCGAUGGAGGGGGAUAACUACUGGAAACGGUAGCUAAUACCGCAUAACGUCGCAAGACCAAAGUGGGGGACCUUCGGGCCUCACACCAUCGGAUGUGCCCAGAUGGGAUUAGCUAGUAGGUGGGGUAACGGCUCACCUAGGCGACGAUCCCUAGCUGGUCUGAGAGGAUGACCAGCCACACUGGAACUGAGACACGGUCCAGACUCCUACGGGAGGCAGCAGUGGGGAAUAUUGCACAAUGGGCGCAAGCCUGAUGCAGCCAUGCCGCGUGUAUGAAGAAGGCCUUCGGGUUGUAAAGUACUUUCAGCGAGGAGGAAGGCGUUGUGGUUAAUAACCACAGCGAUUGACGUUACUCGCAGAAGAAGCACCGGCUAACUCCGUGCCAGCAGCCGCGGUAAUACGGAGGGUGCAAGCGUUAAUCGGAAUUACUGGGCGUAAAGCGCACGCAGGCGGUUUGUUAAGUCAGAUGUGAAAUCCCCGGGCUCAACCUGGGAACUGCAUUUGAAACUGGCAAGCUUGAGUCUCGUAGAGGGGGGUAGAAUUC